UGAUCGAAUUAGGUAGCCGCCCCCUCACUUGAAAGUUGCUGGUGUUUAAAAAACCUUUUAGCGCCAAAGGCGCUGGCAAUUUUCAAGUGAGGGGGAGGAAAGUCCGAACAUUCGUCCCGCACCUUUUCUAACGGAAACCUUCCAAAUAAUCUGAACCUGAGGAAUUUUGGUUAGAAAAGGUGCGGGACAAACGCAACGGUUAAAAGCCGCCGGACUAGCUUGAAGCUUUUAAUGGUAACAUUAAAAGUAGUAGCUGGUUUAGGGGUGCGAACAGAGACGAUUUUUGACUAAAGUCAAAAAUUACCCUCCGAAACUUUAUGCGUAAGAGGAUAAGCUCCGAUGGUAACAUUGGAGGUGAAACGGCUAAAUCCCUGCGGAAUGCAAGAUCCGUGCCCCCUCACUUGAAAAGUUUAAGAUGCGAAGCAUCUAUUUGAAUCCUAUCUAAAUGGAAAAUAGUUGCUCUUAUUUAAAGUUUUGUGAGAAUACGCUACUUUUACUAGAUGAUUCAAAACUUUUCAAGUGGGGGGGAGUGAUCGCUGGACCCUGAGAGUAAUCGAAGGGCUAGAUAAAUGGCUACCCACGACAGAAUUCGGCUUAUCAAUUCGGUCAUAAU
RNAcentral lists this RNase P RNA (613 nucleotides) under Parcubacteria group bacterium. RNAcentral's name for it is "RNase P RNA component class A". It matches the Rfam family "Bacterial RNase P class A". From Rfam's summary of the family: Ribonuclease P (RNase P) is a ubiquitous endoribonuclease, found in archaea, bacteria and eukarya as well as chloroplasts and mitochondria. Its best characterised activity is the generation of mature 5'-ends of tRNAs by cleaving the 5'-leader elements of precursor-tRNAs. The record is from RNAcentral.